Long non-coding RNA from Phacochoerus africanus (Common warthog), 3623 nucleotides. RefSeq lists it as uncharacterized. Lineage: Eukaryota; Metazoa; Chordata; Mammalia; Artiodactyla; Suidae. The transcript has 3 exons. The record is from RefSeq and is a predicted model, not a curated record.
CUUGGAGUCGAGUCUCCUACAGUUGCCACCUAAGGCUCGUUGGGACCACUGAUCCUAACACUGGGUUUGUCCCAUGAGUGGACUUUCGAUGUCAGAGGGCUGGAAACUGCCCCCUCUCAUGCAAAGCGCCUCCUCUGUGAACCUGCAGAGAAACCUGCAUCCCAGAUGCUCCUGUGCCAAACACCAACUUCCGCCCCCUCCCCCAGCUCCAGUCACCUUUCCCCGCGGCUAAGACCACCCUGCUUCUCCGUAAAUGCCUCAGCCCCCUUGCCUUCAGGGGCUUGUCCCCUUUCUCCACGCUUGGCUGCCUCCUGAGUAAACACUUGCCUGGCAGCAAACAGACCUGAUCUGGUGACAAAGUCCCGGUCCCUUGAGGCUAAUCGUUGGAGGAGUUGGUUGACUUCCUGAAUUGCUGGUAGAAAUCGAACCGGGCAGAAUGCGAUUUGGGACUCAGUCGAGUGUAUGUUCCCCUGUCUCAGCUCAGAAAGGACUCAGCGAGAGGCAGAGAGACAGACGUUAAACUGCGUCAUCAGCUCCUCCUCCACGAGCAGCGGAGUUUUCUUGGCCCUACAUGGUCCACCUGGGACGGUCACGGAGCAGGGGAAACGAGCAAAAAGCCAGUAACGUAUUGAAGUAGAGGAGAGCAUGGUUUCAGUAUAAUGUCACCUCUCCUAUACUUUUGUUUUUGGUCUGUGCAGAGAAGCCUGUCCUGGGAACUCUUAACUUACUAACCUCACCGGGCAGGACGUGGGUCUCCUUUCGCUACUAUUUUAGAGCCUAUUUCAUGAUGCUGCGGGGUGGUUUUGUUGCUCAGCGAGCCUGCUUGGUUUGUUGUUAGACCUGCCUGCUUUCCGGUGUGAUCAUUAACUCCCAGGGGUCUCCCAGACUUUUUUCUCUACUUACAAUCCCCUGGCGGGAUCGACUAUUUAAUCACCUACGCUGUCCCUUUCCUCUGUCCCAGUCAAUAGCCACCUGACUUCCUACAGGUCUGCCUGGCAGACUGUCUUCCUAAACCGGCUCCUGGAGACAGUGGGCUGGCCCCCUGGCUCAGAGUUCUGUUUUCAUUGUGUCUGACCCCUGUCUGUGUGCAUCUUAAGUCUUUGACAGCUCACCCUACCCUGUGGGACGCUCCUUCCUCCUCCGACCCUGGGUGCUGCAGACUUGCUCCCAAAGGGAUCAUGCGUGUAGAGAAACCGGCCCAGUGUGUGACAUGCUCAUCCACCAACACAUGCUCGUUUUCAUGCAGUGGGCAUUCCUCCACUUCCUAGUCUAUGAAACAUGGAGCAGCUGAAGCAUCCUAGGUUGGAAUUUGAAGAAUUUUGAAGACUUGGCGGAAAGAACAGCCUGGGCCAAUUCCCACUACCCUCUGGGAGAGGCAGGUAACAGGUGCUACUGUGCCGCAUCCCACUCUCUGAAAAGUAAACUUUAACCAAGUGCCGCUCAUAGAGGGGCAGCUGGCCCUUAUCCCGGAAACACGGUUUGGGAACGGCCACUGACCUUCCCUGAGGACUGUGCACUGAGCCACGUGUACACCAAGCCAGCACCCAGGGCUACCAACGCAGCUCCACCAAAGUGACUGGACCCCGCUUUUCUAACAGGCUCCCAGGUGAAGCCACUACUGCCUGUCCGGGGAUCUGCCUUUGAGGAGCGCGGAUGGGCGUCACACGCAAAGAGAAAACAAAACGCGGAGUGAUAUCGGACCCAGGAUUCACGCUUCAGGCGGGACAGAGAGGGCGCUGGGCAGGAUCGCACUGCUCUUCCCUUCGGCCAGUGCCACCUCAGACCCGGGCGCAUUACCUCGGGGAGGGCGGAGAAGACCCGAAGCCUCGCGCGCCCGCCAGCUCCGGAAGAACCGCCGCCGAGCGUGACGCGCCACUGAACCGGAGGAGCAGCCGGGCCAGGCUGCGCGGCGCACUGGCUGCAGGGCUGGGAGGGGGACGGGGCGGGGCCGAGGGCUAACCCCGCCCCGACACGCCCCUCUCCUAGGCUCCACCCCUUCACCCGGACUCCGCCCCCCCUUACUGCGCCUCGCUCCGACGCGCUCCGCCCUCGCCUUCCUCUCCCGCCCCUGGAUUCUGGAGUCGUGGCUCCAGUUUCGGGUUUUCUGAAUCGAGAAGGAGAAAAGAAACGGAAACCGAAACUGAAUUGACUGGGAAACGCUAGAUCGGGGAAGAGACGAUAAAGGAGUCACUCUCUGGAGCUCGCACGAGGGCCACGUCCACAGGACCAACCAGUCCCCCGACGCACCAUACAUACAUUCAUUCAUUCAUUCUGGAAACAUUUAUUGAACUACUGUGUGCCAGGAACUGUGCGGGAUCCCGAGUACGACAGCAAACAUCACCAACCUGAUUCCACCCUGUUGACGACUUGGUGACAGCCUGGAUGUUCAAAAAAGCCUAGGCAGUGUGAUGAGGCCAUGGUCCUGGAGAAGGGGGGCGGCUGGGGCAUGGGGAAUCUCAGAAAGGAAGUCCCCUAGGCCUGGAGAAAGACUGAGACAGGCCACUUCCAGGGAAGAAGCCCAGCGCGCAGGUGCAAGGAGGAGCGCCCUGAGCUGGAAAUUCUCCUGUUGUGAGGAGGCAUAUUACAUUCAAGCAGUGGGCGUAGAGGGAGGUGAGACUGGGCACAGGCAGGCCUGGCACACCACGCUGAGCAGUUUGGCAUACCCCCACCCCUCCCACCCCUGCAGCGGGUCACCCCGCAGCAUUUAAACCCGGUGCCGUUCACGUCCCACAGCUGUUUGAGGAAAUGCACGGGUUUGCAGGUAGGAAGUGAUGCCUGGAAGCUUGCCGGGCCUGGUUUCACCUCUUCUCUGCAAGACCAGACCAGGCAGGUGAUGAGAGGGCUGGACAAGGACCCAAGAGACCCGCAGAGGGCUGGGUGCCCACAGCUGCACAGGGAACAGGGCUGAGAGUCAGUGUGAGUGUAAUAUGCUUCCCUUGGAUGCCAUGCUUUUGGCAGACACAUUUCAGUGGAGUUAGGGAACAACAGGAAGAGGUGGGACCAGGCAGUGCCACGGUGGCAUCUCCUUGGGUUGAGGCUGCUGGGCUCAGUCCCCCUAAAGUCAGCCUAUGAUUACUGAGCACCUGCUGUCAGUAGAUGGUAGGCCUGGGAGAGAUACAACCUUGAUAAGGCCUUUGUCAAGGUGACAGCCCCACUGAGGAGGUGGCACAUCCCUCAGUCUUCAGAACAUCCCUCUGAGAUGCAAAGACUCUUUGCCCGAGCUGAGCCAGUUGUGGGGUGGCAGGGGGAGCUGGAAGAGGUGUGACCCAGGCUGCGAAGGAGCACCCCAGGGCAGCCACCAAGACAGGGGUCAGGCAGUUGGGACUGGGCAGGGGAGGAAAAUGUCUCUAGAAGCCCAGGGGAAUGGAGAGAGAAGCCAGCAGAAGCUGAGCCACCUUCAGGGAUGGUGAGUCGGGUGCUGAAUCUGGAGCACAGUUCUCAAGGGCUGAGAGUUCGAACCUUCCUUUGUAAAAUCCAGAGUCAUCAAUGUAGAGACAGAAUAUGGUCAACCAUUCAGGUGGGAGACUGUGAGCUUCCUGAGAGCAGGAGCUGCAUCCCGGCAAUUUCAGCAGGGGGCGAAGAUGCUACAGACAGUGGACUUGGGAAUAAAAACCUAGACUGGA